GUAGGUGGCAAGCGUUGUCCGGAAUUAUUGGGCGUAAAGCGCGCGCAGGCGGUCCUUUAAGUCUGAUGUGAAAGCCCACGGCUCAACCGUGGAGGGUCAUUGGAAACUGGGGGACUUGAGUACAGAAGAGGAAAGCGGAAUUCCAAGUGUAGCGGUGAAAUGCGUAGAGAUUUGGAGGAACACCAGUGGCGAAGGCGGCUUUCUGGUCUGUAACUGACGCUGAGGCGCGAAAGCGUGGGGAGCAAACAGGAUUAGAUACCCUGGUAGUCCACGCCGUAAACGAUGAGUGCUAAGUGUUAGGGGGGUUUCCGCCCCUUAGUGCUGCAGCUAACGCAUUAAGCACUCCGCCUGGGGAGUACGGCCGCAAGGCUG
Molecule: ribosomal RNA, 372 nt
Filed under: uncultured organism
Description: partial 16S ribosomal RNA
Rfam family: Bacterial small subunit ribosomal RNA
Source: RNAcentral